GGAAAUGGGAGGGUCACUCACCUCCUGCUUCAUUUCUUGUCAAGUUGGGACGGAUUUCGGGCGGAUUUAUUUUAAUUCUAUUUUUAGCUCCCAUUUAUCUCUCCGUUGCUAGAUUGAGAAGUGUUAAAUAUAAAAAAUAUAUAUAAACGCUGUUCUCUAAUAGUUUAAAUUUUUAGAGUACAACAGUUAUUUAACAAGUUCUGAUACUAUGUGAAACAACCGUUGUACUCUAAAAACUUAAGCUUGAUUAUUUCAUUUAUUUCAUAUGAUAUCAGAGCAGUGGGUCCUUAAUUCGAGUCACGCUAGACUCCUAACAUUAUUAAUUUUCUUUCAUUUAAUUCAAAUUCAUAUCAUAGACCUUAUAAAAAGUCUCAAGCCCAGAUAUGAGAAAAAAUAUUAAAUAUUAAAAUAUAUAAAUACCAUUCUUUAACGGUUAUUUAACAAGACGAGAUUGAAUUUUCGGUAAAAUUUUAGCAGGUCAGGACAAAUCCAAAGAAGGAAAGAGACUUCCGUCUCCCGCUCUACUUAAUGGAUGGGCGGAUUCAGAGCCAAUUACAUUUACCUAUAUCUUUGGCUUUAUUCACCAUUCUAUUCAGAACUAAUCUGGGUGAGAGCUCCACCAACCUGAAUCUAUUUGUAUUUGCUGACUU
Molecule: long non-coding RNA, 650 nt
Filed under: Ananas comosus (pineapple)
Lineage: Eukaryota; Viridiplantae; Streptophyta; Magnoliopsida; Poales; Bromeliaceae
Description: long non-coding RNA (ACOM_LNC032947)
Source: RNAcentral